Molecule: transfer RNA, 74 nt
Filed under: Ananas comosus (pineapple)
Lineage: Eukaryota; Viridiplantae; Streptophyta; Magnoliopsida; Poales; Bromeliaceae
Also listed under: 9 other names
Rfam family: tRNA
About the family: Transfer RNA (tRNA) molecules are approximately 80 nucleotides in length. Their secondary structure includes four short double-helical elements and three loops (D, anti-codon, and T loops). Further hydrogen bonds mediate the characteristic L-shaped molecular structure. tRNAs have two regions of fundamental functional importance: the anti-codon, which is responsible for specific mRNA codon recognition, and the 3' end, to which the tRNAs corresponding amino acid is attached (by aminoacyl-tRNA synthetases). tRNAs cope with the degeneracy of the genetic code in two manners: having more than one tRNA (with a specific anti-codon) for a particular amino acid; and 'wobble' base-pairing, i.e. permitting non-standard base-pairing at the 3rd anti-codon position.
Source: Rfam by way of RNAcentral
GUUCAGGUAGCUCAGCAGGUUAGAGCAAAGGACUGAAAAUCCUUGUGUCAGUGGUUCGAAUCCACUUCUGAGCG